Long non-coding RNA from Cyprinodon tularosa, 258 nucleotides. RefSeq lists it as uncharacterized. NCBI's taxonomy places the organism in Eukaryota, Metazoa, Chordata, Actinopteri, Cyprinodontiformes, Cyprinodontidae. The record is from RefSeq and is a predicted model, not a curated record. The transcript is spliced from 4 exons.
ACCUAUCCAGCAUCUUAAUUCAAAAAAAAAGGGAGAUGACAACUGAAUUAUCAAACUUAAUUCCCAGCAAAAAUUCAGCCAGAGCCACAAGCCAAACAGCAGACAAUAUUACAGAUAAACAAUUAUCUUUGGAUAACGUCUCCAAAAAGAGAAGUUCCUCGAGACCAUUAUCAGUUUUACUGGUGGUAUUGGCUGGUAUUGGGUCAGCAAUUGGCAUUAUCUUCCUCGGUCUCAUAUUAAGGAUUCAACAGCGAGCUG